GAUUGAACGCUGGCGGCAUGCCUUACACAUGCAAGUCGAACGGCAGCAUGAUCUAGCUUGCUAGAUUGAUGGCGAGUGGCGAACGGGUGAGUAAUACAUCGGAACGUGCCCUGUAGUGGGGGAUAACUAGUCGAAAGAUUAGCUAAUACCGCAUACGACCUGAGGGUGAAAGUGGGGGACCGCAAGGCCUCAUGCUAUAGGAGCGGCCGAUGUCUGAUUAGCUAGUUGGUGAGGUAAAGGCUCACCAAGGCGACGAUCAGUAGCUGGUCUGAGAGGACGAUCAGCCACACUGGGACUGAGACACGGCCCAGACUCCUACGGGAGGCAGCAGUGGGGAAUUUUGGACAAUGGGCGAAAGCCUGAUCCAGCAAUGCCGCGUGUGUGAAGAAGGCCUUCGGGUUGUAAAGCACUUUUGUCCGGAAAGAAAUGGCUCUGGUUAAUACCUGGGGUCGAUGACGGUACCGGAAGAAUAAGGACCGGCUAACUACGUG
Molecule: ribosomal RNA, 491 nt
Filed under: uncultured bacterium
Lineage: Bacteria
Description: partial 16S ribosomal RNA
Rfam family: Bacterial small subunit ribosomal RNA
Source: RNAcentral